This 488-nucleotide ribosomal RNA is filed under the name uncultured bacterium. Its description in RNAcentral is "bacterial SSU rRNA". It matches the Rfam family "Bacterial small subunit ribosomal RNA", at positions 28 to 507 of the family's 1533-position model. The record is from RNAcentral.
GAUGAACGCUAGCUACAGGCUUAACACAUGCAAGUCGAGGGGCAGCAUGAAGUUUGCUUGCAAACUUUGAUGGCGACCGGCGGAUGGGUGAGUAACGCGUACCCAACCUGCCCCCUUCCCGGGCACAGCCCUUGGAAACGAGGAUUAACGCCCGAUGGCGUCUGGAUGCCGCAUGGCAUUCCGACCAAAUGCGAAGGAAGGGGAUGGGGGUGCGUCCCAUUAGCUAGUUGGCGGGGUAACGGCCCACCAAGGCAUCGAUGGGUAGGGGUUCUGAGAGGAAGGUCCCCCACACUGGAACUGAGACACGGUCCAGACUCCUACGGGAGGCAGCAGUGAGGAAUAUUGGUCAAUGGAGGCAACUCUGAACCAGCCAAGUAGCGUGAGGGAUGACUGCCCUACGGGUUGUAAACCUCUUUUGUCGGGGAAUAAACCGCGCCACGUGUGGCGCCCUGCAUGUACCCGCAGAAUAAGGACCGGCUAAUUCCGUG